This 390-nucleotide ribosomal RNA is filed under the name Dinophyceae sp. RNAcentral describes it as "partial small subunit ribosomal RNA". It matches the Rfam family "Eukaryotic small subunit ribosomal RNA", at positions 582 to 975 of the family's 1831-position model. Lineage: Eukaryota; Dinophyceae. The record is from RNAcentral.
AUUCCAGCUCCAAUAGCGUAUAUUAAAGUUGUUGCGGUUAAAAAGCUCGUAGUUGGAUUUCUGCUGAGGACGACCGGUCCGCCCUCUGGGUGAGUAUCUGGCUUGGCCUUGGCAUCUUCUUGGAGAACGUAGCUGCACUUGACUGUGUGGUGCGGUAUCCAGGACUUUUACUUUGAGGAAAUUAGAGUGUUUCAAGCAGGCACACGCCUUGAAUACAUUAGCAUGGAAUAAUAAGAUAGGACUUUGGUGGUCUAUUUUGUUGGUUUGCACACCAAGGUAAUGAUUAAUAGGGACAGUUGGGGGUAUCCGUAUUUCGUAGUCAGAGGUGAAAUUCUUGGAUUUACGAAAGACGAACUACUGCGAAAGCAUUUACCAAGGAUGUUUUCAUUA